Molecule: ribosomal RNA, 400 nt
Filed under: phytoplankton environmental sample
Lineage: Eukaryota
Description: partial small subunit ribosomal RNA
Rfam family: Eukaryotic small subunit ribosomal RNA
Source: RNAcentral
AGCUCCAAUAGCGUAUAUUAAAGUUGUUGCAGUUAAAAAGCUCGUAGUUGGAUUUGGGACGGGGGUCGCGCGGUCGGCCGCGAGGUCUGUUACUGUGCGGCCCCGUCAUUUGCACUCUCGGUGACCCGUCGUGCACUUCGCUGUGCGCGGCGCGGGACUCGGGACGUUUACUUUGAAAAAAUUAGAGUGUUCAAAGCAGGCUCUGCCAGCCCGGAUACAUGAGCAUGGAAUAAUGGAAUAGGACCGCGGUUCUAUUUUGUUGGUUUCUACGACCGCAGUAAUGAUUAAGAGGGACAAUUGGGGGCGUCCGUAUUUCGUUGUCAGAGGUGAAAUUCUUGGAUUUACGAAAGACGAACAACUGCGAAAGCAUUCGCCAAGAGUGUUUUCAUUAAUCAAGAAC